UAAGUGAGCCACUGGAGGCUGGGCAGCUAAGUGAGCCACUGGAGGCUGGGCAGCUAAGUGAGCCACUGGAGGCUGGGCAGCUAAGUGAGCCACUGGAGGCUGGGCAGCUAAGUGAGCCACUGGAGGCUGGGCAGCCGUGGCGGAGCGAGGCUGGGACGAGGAGGUGGGAAGUUUGUGUAGCUCCGAACGUGGAAGUCCCAAAAACAAAGCAAAGGAUUGUAGCGGAGUAAGCCCAGUGUCCUCCACCACAUAAUCCUUCCUUCGCCGCUGCUUGCUCCUCCUGCAGGGCCUGGCUUCUGAAAGCAGCGGUGGAGUGACACCAGGAAACUGAGCAGAGAGCGGCUGCUGAGCAGGCGAUGAGCUGUUCUCAAAAUCAUCUGCCGCACAGAAGACAGCCCCAGAAUGAACAGUCACAUAGUCCGAAAAAGAGCCCUCACUCUCCACAACCGGCGAAUUAAAAGUCCGGAUGUCCGGCUGUGGGGUGGCGCGCCGGCGGCGCGAUCGACAUUUCCUCCCCGCCGACGGCUCCGACGGGCCAGGCAAGAUCACAUUCGGCGAGUCGGGCGGCGAGGCAGGAGUGGCAGAGAGCAGGUGAGGUGUGCGCUGAAGGAAGGCCUGAAUGGUCGGAGAGAGCGAGCCAAACAGCCACGGAAGACCAGAGAAGAGCCGCUGUAGGCGAGUUUCCACAGCGCGACGAAGCUCCUCCGGGGGAUGUUCCAACCACAGGCUGAGAAGGUUCUCAACGGAGAAAAUGAUGUCAUCCUUCAGCUCCUCCGAAGGGUCGCAAGCUGCUGGGUCCAUGUUGGCUGUUUCGUGCUGUCACGGUUUGCAGGUGCAAGCCGUGUGGGAGUUAAUUAGGACCGGGCAGCAGCAGCUCAAGUGCAAGUAAGAAUUUAUUAACAGAAAGGCAAAUAAACAGGAAUGGCAAGUGACACUAACCGGUAACCUAAACUGGGGAAAACUAACAAAGCAAACCAGAAACGAAGAUGCAGGAGGAUAACGAGGGAAUGAGACACAAAAGGAGGGCACAGCUGGGAGUAAUCCGACCUGAC
Oreochromis aureus is the source of this 1052-nucleotide long non-coding RNA. The record is from Ensembl. NCBI's taxonomy places the organism in Eukaryota, Metazoa, Chordata, Actinopteri, Cichliformes, Cichlidae.